UACAUAGGAUGCAAGCGUUAUCCGGAUUUACUGGGCGUAAAACGAGCGCAGGCGGGUUAACAAGUUUGGUAUGAAAGGCUUUUGCUUAACGAAAGUUUGUAUCAAAAACUGUUAAUCUAGAGUGUAGUAGAGAGUUCUGGAAUUCCAUGUGGAGCGGUGGAAUGCGUAGAUAUAUGGAAGAACACCAGUGGCGAAGGCGAGAACUUAGGCUAUCACUGACGCUUAGGCUCGAAAGUGUGGGGAGCAAAUAG
This 251-nucleotide ribosomal RNA is filed under the name uncultured bacterium. RNAcentral describes it as "partial 16S ribosomal RNA". It matches the Rfam family "Bacterial small subunit ribosomal RNA", at positions 524 to 775 of the family's 1533-position model. The record is from RNAcentral.